AAACCUACCUGGCAGGGAAGAUAGCAUGCUCAAGAUGUUCUCCCAGGUGAAGCGCUGCCAUUUAGCUCUGCUGAGCUCUGCGUUGCCCCACAGGUGAGAAACUCGACUGCAUAAUUUGUGGUUGUGGAAUGCGUUCGCGUAUUCCC
Molecule: small nuclear RNA, 146 nt
Filed under: Nannospalax galili (Upper Galilee mountains blind mole rat)
Lineage: Eukaryota; Metazoa; Chordata; Mammalia; Rodentia; Spalacidae
Description: U1 spliceosomal RNA (ENSNGAG00000002872.1)
Rfam family: U1 spliceosomal RNA
About the family: U1 is a small nuclear RNA (snRNA) component of the spliceosome (involved in pre-mRNA splicing).
Source: RNAcentral